UAGGACUGUUAUCCCCUGGAAGAUCACAAG
Molecule: non-coding RNA, 30 nt
Filed under: Rattus norvegicus (Norway rat)
Lineage: Eukaryota; Metazoa; Chordata; Mammalia; Rodentia; Muridae
Source: RNAcentral